This 635-nucleotide ribosomal RNA is filed under the name uncultured soil bacterium. RNAcentral describes it as "bacterial SSU rRNA". It matches the Rfam family "Bacterial small subunit ribosomal RNA", at positions 9 to 623 of the family's 1533-position model. The record is from RNAcentral.
GAGUUUGAUCCUGGCUCAGAAUCAACGCUGGCGGCGUGCCUAACACAUGCAAGUCGAACGCGAAAGCCCCGCAAGGGGUAAGUAGAGUGGCAAACGGGUGAGUAACACGUGGGUGACCUGCCUUCGAGUGGGGGAUAACGUCCCGAAAGGGACGCUAAUACCGCAUGACAUCCUGCGUUUGGAAACGCGGAGAUCAAAGCCGGGGAUCGCAAGACCUGGCGCUUGAAGAGGGGCCCGCGCCUGAUUAGCUAGUUGGUGGGGUAAUGGCCUACCAAGGCGACGAUCAGUAUCCGGCCUGAGAGGGCGGACGGACACACUGGGACUGAGACACGGCCCAGACUCCUACGGGAGGCAGCAGUGGGGAAUUGUUCGCAAUGGGCGCAAGCCUGACGACGCAACGCCGCGUGGAGGACGAAGAUCUUCGGGUCGUAAACUCCUGUCGAGCGGGAAGAACGCUUCCCGGGUGAAUAAUCCGGGGAGGUGACGGUACCGCUAAAGGAAGCCCCGGCUAACUCCGUGCCAGCAGCCGCGGUAAUACGGGGGGGGCAAGCGUUGUUCGGGAUUACUGGGCGUAAAGGGCUCGUAGGCGGCCAACUAAGUCGGAUGUGAAAUCCCCAGGCUUAACCUGGGAACUG